AGGAAAAGAAACCAACAGGGAUUGCCUCAGUAACGGCGAGUGAAGCGGCAACAGCUCAAAUUUGAAAUCUGGCUCUUUCAGGGUCCGAGUUGUAAUUUGUAGAAGAUGCUUCGGGUGUGGCUCCGGUCUAAGUUCCUUGGAACAGGACGUCAUAGAGGGUGAGAAUCCCGUAUGUGACCGGCUGCCUUCGCCUAUGUGAAGCUCUUUCGACGAGUCGAGUUGUUUGGGAAUGCAGCUCAAAAUGGGUGGUAAAUUUCAUCUAAAGCUAAAUAUUGGCCAGAGACCGAUAGCGCACAAGUAGAGUGAUCGAAAGAUGAAAAGCACUUUGGAAAGAGAGUUAAACAGUACGUGAAAUUGUUGAAAGGGAAGCGCUUGCAACCAGACUUGCACUUGGUCGAUCAUCCGAGGUUCUCCCCGGUGCACUCGAUCUCGUUCAGGCCAGCAUCGGUUCAGGUGGUGGGAUAAAGGCCUUGGGAAUGUAGCUUCUUUCGGGGAGUGUUAUAGCCCUCGGUGCAAUGCCGCCUACCUGGACCGAGGACCGCGCUUCGGCUAGGAUGCUGGCGUAAUGGUUGUAAGCGACCCG
RNAcentral lists this ribosomal RNA (583 nucleotides) under uncultured Pezizomycotina. RNAcentral's name for it is "eukaryotic LSU rRNA". It matches the Rfam family "Eukaryotic large subunit ribosomal RNA", at positions 54 to 651 of the family's 3401-position model. Lineage: Eukaryota; Fungi; Ascomycota. The record is from RNAcentral.